GUCAGGGAACCUCUGUCGUGGGAAUUCCCAGGUGUGUUCAGAUCCAUGUUGCGUCACACCUGUUUGCUCCCUGCCUUGUCUCUAAGUGAUUGUAAAAUGCUCUCCUAAUCUCGUUCCCGUCUUGGACCCUGAGCUUUGUCUCCUGGGCUUCAUGCACGUAUUUAUUCUCCAUUAAAAGUAUAAAUUUGAAGGCUUUCCCAGGCUAGUGCCUUGGUGAGACUCAGACUCAUUUUGUGAACCUGCAUUAGAAAAGCAAACUCCAGAUCCCUCCUGACAGGGGUGGGGCCUAUCUAACCAGGGUGUUGCUGCUAGAGAUGUGACAUAAGACAGAAAAACAGGCUCAUAUCAGAGCUAACACUUAAAGAAAACACCAGCCGUCUCAGAGCUGUGACUAUUUUCAAGGCUAUUGUUUUUCUCUGUGGAACACUGCCUUUGGGACAAAACAAGGAAGAAGCAGCUUCCUAAGUGACAAGAGCCAUGUAGUAGGUGCUCUGGGGGCCCCGGACCGCCUGUGACUCCAGCAACUGCCCUGGAGGACUUUCCUGGGCACUGGGAAACCUUUCUCACCUGGCAGGUGCCCUGAAGUGGCGGCGAGCUGAUACACGAUUCUCCACUUCAUGUGGCCGUAAACAGGUGAUCCGUGAUGUCCAACUGAUGGUUGAAUGGACAAGACAGAUGAUUGUGGGGUGAGGAAAGCAAUCCUAGGAUCACUCCUCUAUGAAACAAAUAGGACCGUGACAUAGAAAACUGACCACAUUGCAAAUUUUCUGUAUUGUUGAGCCAAGUCAGUGGCCAGCUCGGGUCUGUUUACCUGGGAACUGUUCAAUCCAACCCUGACUGCCUCAGGCCAAAGGCACUGCAUUCUGAAGAGUCUGCCCGACGCCCCGCACCCACUCUCCCGCACCUUGCCCCUCACUCCCCCACCGUAGACACACUCAGAGCCUGAGGGCGCGUAGAGCACUUGGGGAGGAAAGCACUUUCACCUUGCGCGCUCUGCAGAAGCAAGCCACCCGCAAAGAAUUCAAGAGCAAGUCCCUGGGAGGUGAAAUGACAUCGCCUCCACGGUUCCUUUCAGCUGAAAUCUCGACGGCUCCCAGCGGAGCACAAAAAAGCACAAGAAAACAGGGGGUCCCGCGCCUCCAGACCAGCAAGGUACGCGGGCCUCUCACUGCUGUGGCUUCUCCCGUUGUGGAGCACAGGCUCCGGACGCGCAGGCUCAGUGGCCAUGGCUCACGGACCCAGCCGCUCCGCGGCAUGUGGUAUGUUCCCAGACCGGGGCACAAACCCAUGUCCCCUGCAUCGGCAGGCGGACUCCCAACCACUGCGCCACCAGGGAAGCCCGACAGUAUUACUUUUAAGCUAACUUGAAUUAAACAAAGAAGAUGAAGAAUUGCUCAGGUAAAUGUUUCUCUACAACAAGAACAUCUGAAAUAAUGUUAAGUGUUCUGCACCAGGGUUUUCUCCACUGGGCUGGGUGUGUCCUCUACUGAUGGCAUGAUACUUUUGAACCCUGGGAAACCAUGAGUGCUGCAGGUUUCCCUGUUCUCUGCCAAGACCAUGAUGGAGGUAGAGAGAAGUUUCUACACGUGAAAGAUUGUACUCUGACUUUUUCCAGGGCUACUCACCAUGUCACUCCACUGUAUCAGGACUGGAUGAUAGCAGUGAGAAUUCUUAGCAUUUUAUACACUCACCUUCUUCCCUCAGUACAAUUUCUCAGCCUCUGCUGGGGCUGUUAGCAACAUGAGUGAGGGUAGUGUUUAAACAUUAUUCUAGGAUGAACCAAAAUCUAAUUUUUUGUAGAGGCAGGAUCUGGAAGCUGGCUUCAAAUACCCAUUUUUAUAUAAAACAUGGCUAGAAGAGAGCCUGGUAUAUAGCAAGGGCCAUGCAUUUAUUAUUAAAUUAUACUCACUUUCAGAAGUUUAUGAAAUGAGGUUGUGCCCCCAUUCCUUCUUUGCUGUAUGAUAAGAAAUAUUUCCUUUGAGCUCUUACACCUUUCUUUAAAUUAAUUUCAUUACAUAUUGAUGGAAGGGAAUUUUGUGAUCUGGCCUCCUUCUGCCAUCUUUACUUGGAGAUUCCUACAGCUGCCGUCUAACAGAAGUAAGCAUUUAUGCUAAGCAACACGUUUCUGGAAAGAUUUCAUCUAUUUUAUUUUAUAGAAUUCUCAAGUGAUCACACUUUUUACAUUAACUUAAAAAAGUUUUAUGGGUCAUUUUUCUCCUAGUCUCUCAAAUAAAUAGUCUCUCUACCCUAAAUCUGCAGUCUCUUUCUCUUGCUCUCUGUCUGUAUCUCUUUAAAUCCCAUUUAGAAAUUCAAAUAAGGUGUUUUGAAGAAAGAAAAAAAAACUAACAUCCUUCUAAGGGAAGAAAAACAAUCUAUUUUAAAGCAAGAUCCAAAAACAAGAAAAAAAGUCUUGACACUUUUUUUGGUCCAGGCUCAGGCUGGGACACUCUUGGGGAGGCACUCUCAGACACUCCUUGGCUUAUAGAAGUUACUGAUGAUGGCACUACCAGAGCCUGGGGGCAUGGGAGCCUCCAAAUCCACUCAUUUUCCUCUAGCUAGCUUCUUCCCAGGCCCCCAUUCCCUCAGAUUCAGGGCCUGGAUUUUAGGCAUGUGACCCUGGGCAAGUCAGAUUUAGGCUGGCCAUUACUGGAGAAAGCUCCCAGAUCCUGAAGACACUAGGGGUCUGCCUCAGCAGAGCUUGGGGCAGGGGAAGCCUCCCAGCCCAUCCAUCCAUCUUGAGCUAGCCAGCUGCUCUACCCUCAUCCCCUUAAACCAGGGCCUGAAUACUAGGUCAGCAAGUCCCAGAGCAGCUGGAAGCUGACCUAGACUUGUGUGUUCUGAAAGGCAGGAGACUCAAACAGACCCUUGGAUGUAAGGGAAGCCUGUUUUCUCAACCCACCCACAACCCUUAAGUUAACUGCAAGUUCUUCCCCGAACCCAUCACACUCUAGGGUCUCCAUGUCUGGUCUAGUAAUGGUCAAUCCAUGUUCAUAGUGACCCUCUUUAUCUAGAAGGUAUCCUCUGCCCUCAAUCUCUGCUGUUGCCCAAAACAAAACAAAACAAAACAAAACCCCAAACCUCUAUGUUUUGAUUUGCUUAUGGAUAGAAAAAUUAACGUCCUCACUAAGUUAGAUACCCAUGUGGAUUAACUAAAAAACAUCCCUUAGAAAUGGUGCAACCUACCAAUGUGACUGAUGCACUUCCAAUGGCAGGUGCAGCAGGGCUGAAGAGGUCAAACCCAAACCUGGGUAUGCAAACACUGUGAUUAUGUGAGGGUUUGGCUUCAGGGUAUAAAUCCUAUUUAUAUCCUGCUUUUUUCCCAACUAAAAUUGUGUGUGUGUGUUUUCAUUACAUUUUCUGACUGGUCAUUGCUAGUCUGAAGGAAUGCUACUGAUUUUUUUUAAAGAAACUAUCGAGAAUGAUAUUAGUUAUUGAUUUAAAAUUGAUAUAAUAUUUAUCAGGUUAAGGAAAUAUCUUUUUAUUUCUUAGUGUACCCAAAUAUAUAAAAUCUGGAAUGGGUGAAGCAUCUUAUUGAACUUUUUCUCUUUUCUUUCUUAGUGAUCCAGUAGAUUUCUAGAUUUUAACUUCUUACAUUGGAGGAAUGUAUGUACUUGGUUAUAGUAAAUUCUGUUUUCAUUAAGCUGUUAUACAUUUAUUAAGCUAUUUAUAUUUAUUUAGAAAUGAAACUCUUUUUUUCUGGGAUAUCUAGGGACAGAGUACUGUGGAAUACCAACUGGGGACAAAUUGGUCUAUGGGUUUGUUUUCUUGUUCUAACUUUGCCAGGUUUACUACCAAAGCUAUGUUAACUUUAUAGAAUCUAGACAUGAAUAAAGCUUUGUCAAUAUUUUGGUUUAUUUAUAAAAUACUAAAAUAACAUAUUU
Orcinus orca (killer whale) is the source of this 3881-nucleotide long non-coding RNA. RefSeq lists it as uncharacterized. Lineage: Eukaryota; Metazoa; Chordata; Mammalia; Artiodactyla; Delphinidae. The record is from RefSeq and is a predicted model, not a curated record. The transcript is spliced from 6 exons.